RNAcentral lists this non-coding RNA (45 nucleotides) under Schistosoma mattheei. The record is from RNAcentral. Lineage: Eukaryota; Metazoa; Platyhelminthes; Trematoda; Strigeidida; Schistosomatidae.
AUCCAGCUGACGAGUCCUAAAUGGGGUAAAACGCGCGUUCUGGAU